RNAcentral lists this transfer RNA (79 nucleotides) under Bacteroides uniformis. Its description in RNAcentral is "tRNA-OTHER". Lineage: Bacteria; Pseudomonadati; Bacteroidota; Bacteroidia; Bacteroidales; Bacteroidaceae. RNAcentral also lists the same sequence under 5 other names. The record is from RNAcentral.
GCCGGCAGAAGUCUGGGCGGAUUCAGCUUCUUAAUCCAAAAGGAUGUAGAGUUCACGGGUUCGAAUCCCGUUGCUGGCG